GCUGGGGUGGUGGAGCGGUCAAUCACAGCAGUCUGUAAAACUGUUGCCUUUAUGGCUACGAAGGUUCAAAUCCUUCCCCCAGCACCA
This 87-nucleotide transfer RNA is filed under the name Candidatus Beckwithbacteria bacterium. Its description in RNAcentral is "tRNA-Tyr". It matches the Rfam family "tRNA". From Rfam's summary of the family: Transfer RNA (tRNA) molecules are approximately 80 nucleotides in length. Their secondary structure includes four short double-helical elements and three loops (D, anti-codon, and T loops). Further hydrogen bonds mediate the characteristic L-shaped molecular structure. tRNAs have two regions of fundamental functional importance: the anti-codon, which is responsible for specific mRNA codon recognition, and the 3' end, to which the tRNAs corresponding amino acid is attached (by aminoacyl-tRNA synthetases). tRNAs cope with the degeneracy of the genetic code in two manners: having more than one tRNA (with a specific anti-codon) for a particular amino acid; and 'wobble' base-pairing, i.e. permitting non-standard base-pairing at the 3rd anti-codon position. The record is from RNAcentral. Lineage: Bacteria; Candidatus Beckwithiibacteriota.